Molecule: ribosomal RNA, 852 nt
Filed under: uncultured bacterium
Lineage: Bacteria
Description: partial 16S ribosomal RNA
Source: RNAcentral
UUGCAAGCGUAAUCCCCAGGCGGAAAACUUCACGCGUUAGCUUGACCACCGCUCGUUGUAUUUCGCUCGGCAGUGAGUUUUCAUCGUUUACGGCUAAAAUUACUAGGGUAUCUAAUCCUAAUCACUCCUUUAGCUUUCGUCUCUGAGCGUCAGGUAAAGCCCAGUACAGUGCCUUCGCCAUAUUGGUGUUCCUCCCGAUAUCUACGCAUUUCACCGCUCCACCGGGAAUUCCCUGUACCUCUACUUACCUCAAGUAUAGAAGUUUCCUUUGCUGGAUCUCGGUUGAGCCGAGGUAUUUAACAAAAGACUUUCUAUACAGCCUACAGACGCUUUACGCCCAAUCAUUCCGAAUAACACUUGCAUCCUCCGUCUUACCGCGGCUGCUGGCACGGAGUUAGCCGAUGCUUAUUCCUCGAAUACCGUCAGAGCUUCUUCUUCGAGAAAAGAAGUUUACAACCCGCAGGCCGUCAUCCUUCACGCAGCGUCGCUCCGUCAGACUUUCGUCCAUUGCGGAAAAUUCCCCACUGCUGCCUCCCGUAGGAGUUUGGACCGUGUCUCAGUUCCAAUGUGGCUGUUCAUCCUCUCAGACCAGCUACUGAUCGUCGCCUUGGUGCGCCAUUACCGCACCAACUAGCUAAUCAGACGCAAGAUCAUCCCUCGGCGAAAUUCUUUCACUCCACAGCGUAUCGGGUAUUAGCUUUCGUUUCCAAAAGUUGUCCCCGACCGAGGGGCAGAUUCUUACGUGUUCCUCACCCGUUCGCCACUCUUCCACAUUCCGAAGAAUGCUUCAUCGUUCGACUUGCAUGUGUUAUGCACGCUGCCAGCGUUCCUUCUGAGCCAGGAUCAAACUCU